UACGUAGGAUGCGAGCGUUAUCCGGAUUUAUUGGGUUUAAAGGGUGCGUAGGCGGGCUGUUAAGUCAGCGGUAAAAGCCCGGGGCUCAACCCCGGCGAGCCGUUGAAACUGGCUGUCUUGAGAUGUCGAGAGGUAUGCGGAGUGCGCAGUGUAGCGGUGAAAUGCUUAGAUAUUGCGCAGAACUCCGAUUGCGAAGGCAGCAUACCGGCGGCGAUCUGACGCUGAGGCACGAAAGCGUGGGUAUCGAACAGG
Molecule: ribosomal RNA, 252 nt
Filed under: uncultured bacterium
Lineage: Bacteria
Description: partial 16S ribosomal RNA
Rfam family: Bacterial small subunit ribosomal RNA
Source: RNAcentral